CCUGGUGGGUCAUAUAGUAAAGAAUCUGCCUGCAAUGCAGGAGACCUGGGUUUGAUUCCCAGGUCAGGA
RNAcentral lists this transfer RNA (69 nucleotides) under Bos taurus (domestic cattle). It matches the Rfam family "tRNA". From Rfam's summary of the family: Transfer RNA (tRNA) molecules are approximately 80 nucleotides in length. Their secondary structure includes four short double-helical elements and three loops (D, anti-codon, and T loops). RNAcentral also lists the same sequence under 5 other names. Lineage: Eukaryota; Metazoa; Chordata; Mammalia; Artiodactyla; Bovidae. The record is from Rfam by way of RNAcentral.